AUUUUUAUACGGUGUGCGGUCACACUAAGGAAAUGACAGUGCUGUUCGUGAUUUUUGUCCUUCGGAUGUUUAGCUUGUGAAAACCUCGUGUUAAAUAGUGAACAAAAAUUCUUAAUUUUAAAAGAAUUGGACGGUGAAGCUUUUGAUUCACUUUUCAACGAGAAUCUUUCGACUCGAUGAUAAAUUUGAUUUAAACAAAGUUCUACUGAACAGCUCAAAGGGAAAAAUUCUUUUAAACUAUUUUGCAAAGGGAAAACGAUUGAGCCCAAAGUAUAGAAAACUUUUGAGCCAAAUAAUAAUUGAGCAUUUGGUAGCUAGCAAUAUACAACCAAAGCAAAAUCUGUUAAAAGAAUUUUCGAAAAAUUGUCUUGUUUUUUGAGUCUGAGAUUGAGGAUACUUUUUAUAUACAAAUAAAAGGAAAAAAGCCGAAAGGAUAACUUUACAACAAUUAUUAUAAUUUUUAAUCGAAAUACAAAGAUUCCGCAACUAAUAUUAAAUACCAAACUGCUCCUGAAAAUAAGGUUUGUGGAUAGUAUAGGAGAUAACAUUGAUAUAUGUUGUUCAAAAUUCAAUGUCGAGCCGAUAGAGACAGUUUUGAAGUAUGGCAAAGGACCUACGAAUAUAGAAAGAAGUUCUUCGAAACCGCUGAGCCCUUAGAAAAUAUUUUUGACACUCUACCAAUCCUUAUGCAGUCUUUUGGGUUUGAGCUAAUAUUGGACGAUUUCAAAACCAAAAAUGAAAUGAUUUUUGAUCAGUUAUUUACAAAAUGGGAAUCCUUCAAACUAAAAUGUUUACCGCUUUUACAAUUAAAGGUAAAAGAGCUUAAAGGUAAACUCUUUCUCAAGGUCAUUGCCGGAAAGUCUGAGGACGCUCAAAAUCUUCUACUAUGGCUGUUGCACUCCGUGUUAGUUCCAACAUCGAGACGAAAGCAAGCUGACGGAACCAAAUAUAUAAAAUAGCCGAUUCCAGAAAUAAAUUUUUAAUUUGGAAAUCGACGUUUGGAGAACUGCAAGAUUACACUUCUGGUGAAAUUUACGAAAUAAAAUAUUUGAUUAUAAGCAAAUUUGACCUUAAAUAAAGAAAUGAAUUUCUUGAAAUACGAAAAAAUUACAUCAUUUAAAAUAAAAAUUCAUAUUGUAAGAAAGAAAUGCCCUUAAAGAUUAAACAAGCAGUAUUUCCUCAUAAGGAAAAAAACCUUA
Molecule: RNA transcript, 1199 nt
Organism: Drosophila biarmipes
Lineage: Eukaryota; Metazoa; Arthropoda; Insecta; Diptera; Drosophilidae
Exons: 5
Source: RefSeq, a predicted model, not a curated record